Molecule: small RNA, 1403 nt
Filed under: Pongo abelii (Sumatran orangutan)
Lineage: Eukaryota; Metazoa; Chordata; Mammalia; Primates; Hominidae
Description: retained intron
Source: RNAcentral
GGGUGGACCCGCCGCAUCUCCUUACGGCGUCUCCUCUCGUCCCAGCCCGACAGGCCUGAAGAUCGUGGCUGUGAGCCGCCGGGAGAAGUUCGUCCGCAUCUUCAACCCGUCGCAGGAGAGCACGGCCGACCUGAGCGGCAUGGUGCUGAAGCAGCUGGUGCGCGGCUUCCCGGAGCGCCUGUACCGCUUCCCGCCGGGCACGCUGCUGGCCCCGCGGCACCACGUCACGGUGCGCCCCGGCCCGGGAGCCCGGCCCCGACGGCCCGGCCCGGCCGCCCCUCACCCGCCGCUCCGCGCCCUUCCAGGUCUGGGGCGAGGCGACCCGCAGCGCCAAGAAGCCGCUGUGCGCGUCCUCGGGCCGGGUGCCCGUUCCCCUCCUCUCCAUCCGCGGCUGCGCGACGCUGCUCCUGAGCCCCAAGGGCGAGGUCGGUGCGGGCCCCCGGUGGGGCGGCCGGGGCUGGGGUGUGGGGGGUGACCGACGCGCCCCGCAGGUCCUCAGUGAGCACCGGAUCCCACGCCGCGAGACUCCGGCCCCGAGGGUCUUCGCCGACGGCACCGACUUGUCCAUCGACCGCUUCCCGCUCCCUGAGGCCGGGCCCGGCGCCGACACCCGCAAGCCGCCGCGCCCACCUCGACCCCUGCGCAAAGGCCGGGUGCGGGAGCCCCGGGUCAGUCGCCGGAGACCAGGGUGGGGACCGCAGGUCCCCGGGAUCUGGCCUCCCUCCCCAGGCCCCGCCCCAGCAGAAACGGUCCCUGGCAUCCCCGCGCUAGGACGGCCCCCAACUUCCCCAGGCCCCGCCCCGGCUGCCCCCUAGUCCUCCAGUACGCCCCGCGGCCCCUGCCCCGCCGCAGGUGCGGAGCCCUCUAGGGCCGCCUUUCCCGGGCCGGCCGCCGCCCUCACGACCCUCGCCCCACCAGGACGCGGGGCCUGCUGCCCCCAAUGAGCUCGGGGAAGCUCUUCCACGAGCGGGAGGGGCCCGCGCGGCCCGAGACCCCGGAGAUCCCCGCGCCGCAGCACCUGCCCGCCAUCCCGGGUGACCCCACCCUGCCGUCGCCUCCCGCAGAGGCCGGGCUGGGCCUGGAGGACUGUCGGCUCCGGAAAGAGCACCGAGUUCGGGUGUGCCGGAAGAGCGUGGACCGUAGCUGCCCCCUGGUGGCCCUGUCGGUGCAGAGCACGGCGGAGAGCAGAUUCGGCUUCCGCUUCCUCAGCUGCCUGCCGGUCACCGCGGACACCUGCCGGUCACCGCGGACACCUGCCGCGGCGCCUAGGGGCGGAGGAGCGGGGCCCCUAGAGGUGGGACCGCGAGGGAGGGCGCGGGCGGGCGCUGGGGCUGGGCGGGCCGUGUCCGCUGCAUCAUUUAUUGAACCAACGUGGCCUACAGAGUAAACCGCAUUUCUGUACA